Callithrix jacchus (white-tufted-ear marmoset) is the source of this 115-nucleotide small nucleolar RNA. Its record names the gene U3. It matches the Rfam family "Small nucleolar RNA U3". From Rfam's summary of the family: Small nucleolar RNAs (snoRNAs) are involved in the processing and modification of rRNA in the nucleolus. Lineage: Eukaryota; Metazoa; Chordata; Mammalia; Primates; Cebidae. The record is from Ensembl.
AAGACUAUACUUUCAGGGAUCAUUUCUACAGUUUGUUACUAGAGAAGUUUCUCUGAAUGUGUAGAGCACCGUUUAAAAAUUAAAAAAAAUAUCCCUCAGGGUGGUUUUUAUCUGG